RNAcentral lists this ribosomal RNA (474 nucleotides) under uncultured organism. RNAcentral describes it as "partial 16S ribosomal RNA". It matches the Rfam family "Bacterial small subunit ribosomal RNA", at positions 330 to 796 of the family's 1533-position model. The record is from RNAcentral.
CGUACACUCCUACGGGAGGCAGCAGUAGGGAAUCUUCGGCAAUGGGGGCAACCCUGACCGAGCAACGCCGCGUGAGUGAAGAAGGUUUUCGGAUCGUAAAGCUCUGUUGUAAGUCAAGAACGAGUGUGAGAGUGGAAAGUUCACACUGUGACGGUAGCUUACCAGAAAGGGACGGCUAACUACGUGCCAGCAGCCGCGGUAAUACGUAGGUCCCGAGCGUUGUCCGGAUUUAUUGGGCGUAAAGCGAGCGCAGGCGGUUUGAUAAGUCUGAAGUUAAAGGCUGUGGCUCAACCAUAGUUCGCUUUGGAAACUGUCAAACUUGAGUGCAGAAGGGGAGAGUGGAAUUCCAUGUGUAGCGGUGAAAUGCGUAGAUAUAUGGAGGAACACCGGUGGCGAAAGCGGCUCUCUGGUCUGUAACUGACGCUGAGGCUCGAAAGCGUGGGGAGCGAACAGGAUUAGAAACCCGGGUAGUCC